GGGGAUUUGCAUAGCAAGCUUGGAGAUUUUGCACCUGAAUCUUAGAUUAUUGGAUGACCAUAGAUUUGUACUUAACUAUUUACGAAGUAUGAGAUAUAGGUUGGCAUUUGGUUUUGAAUUUAGAUGCUCUGAACCAAUCUUGAUUUAUUAAUUUGAUGAAUAAUAGAAUUAAAUCUUUUAUUAUGUCUUAUUUAUGAUGGAUUUCAGCUGAUUAUGGUUGUUUGGCUU
Molecule: long non-coding RNA, 228 nt
Filed under: Elaeis guineensis (African oil palm)
Lineage: Eukaryota; Viridiplantae; Streptophyta; Magnoliopsida; Arecales; Arecaceae
Description: long non-coding RNA (EGUI_LNC055592)
Source: RNAcentral